GUAGGGAAUUUUCGUCAAUGGGGGGAACCCUGAACGAGCAAUGCCGCGUGAGUGAGGAAGGUCUUCGGAUCGUAAAGCUCUGUUGUAAGAGAAAAACGGCACUCAUAGGGAAUGAUGAGUGAGUGAUGGUAUCUUACCAGAAAGUCACGGCUAACUACGUGCCAGCAGCCGCGGUAAUACGUAGGUGGCGAGCGUUAUCCGGAAUGAUUGGGCGUAAAGGGUACGUAGGCGGCCAGAUAAGUCUGGUGUGAAAGGCUGCAGCUCAACUGCAGCACUGCACUGGAAACUGUCCGGCUGGAGUGCAGAAGAGGGCGAUGGAACUCCAUGUGUAGCGGUAAAAUGCGUAGAUAUAUGGAAGAACACCGGUGGCGAAGGCGGCCGUCUGGUCUGGAUUCUGACACUGAAGCACGAAAGCGUGGGGAGCAAAUAGGAUUAGAUACCCUAGUAGUCC
Molecule: ribosomal RNA, 451 nt
Filed under: uncultured bacterium
Lineage: Bacteria
Description: bacterial SSU rRNA
Rfam family: Bacterial small subunit ribosomal RNA
Source: RNAcentral